RNAcentral lists this ribosomal RNA (1026 nucleotides) under Triticum aestivum (bread wheat). Its description in RNAcentral is "partial small subunit ribosomal RNA". The record is from RNAcentral. Lineage: Eukaryota; Viridiplantae; Streptophyta; Magnoliopsida; Poales; Poaceae.
AUGCUUAGGAAAAUGUACCAAGGUGGUCCUUCAAGGAAGCAAGGACCCAGGCUCGGAAUGCGCGAUGCCGAUGAUGAGCCACCAAGGAACGCUCCAGUGCGGCCUUGUGAAUGGCCUUCAGAAGGCUUUAUGGAUCGAGCGAGAAUCAAGGAAGAAUUUAACGCGUAUUUGCGUAACGCUGAUCUUGUAAGCUUCGAGGGAGAAAAGUGCCGCCAGUACCACUAUCUCACUAGUUCAUUUGUGAGGAGGUUUGAAUAUUCAUCUUCACGUAAUUCUCAAACUGUCCUAUUUGAUCUCUAUGAAAAAUCUUACACUAUGGACUUAGAGGAUUUCACCAAUGCUUGCAAACUUCCACAAUGGGGUAGUACUAGUGAACCUUGCAAAUCUGAAUUUAGAGAAUUUCUUGCUAGUAUAACUGUGGGAGAAUCUAGAGACAUAGCACAAGCUACCAUAGGGAGCAUUCAUUUUCCUGCUAUACAUUAUUUUGCUCUCUUCAUAGGUAGGUGCAUAAAUGGUAAGGAUGAAGCAUGUCAUAUGUGUGUCCCUGACCUCAGUAUUCUUAGGAGUGCUGUGUUAGGAGACAAAUCUUAUAAUUUGGGAGCCAUUGUUGCGCGUAGGUUGCAUCACAAUAGAUUUAAUGGAGAUUUCUCUGGUGGAAUUUAUGCAACCCGCUUAGCUGAUUUUCUUGGUGUAACCAUACGCGAUGAUGAUAUUGAACUGCCUCCUACUUAUCUAGACUUUAAUGUUAUGGUUCAUCAUCAGGUUGUCGAGAGGAAUGAACCACCUCUCCAGUACAGACUAAUCUUUGACAGGCAUCACGCCGUCAAUAUUGUUCUUCCUGCCCCUACUCUCUUUGACUUUCAGGAAAAAGGGAGACAUUACAUAACCAGAGAGGAGGCGGAGGAGUAUAGGAGGAGGGCCGAGAUAGCUCGCCUCCAAGCUGCAGCACACGAUGCAAUGACCGCUGCAUCUCAGUACGACCCCAACUACAACUUUGGAUAUCCGCCAGGCCAGCCGUGGCAAUAA